CGACCGGCGCACGGGUGAGUAACGCGUAUCCAACCUGCCCUUUACUAUGGGACAGCCCGUCGAAAGGCGGAUUAAUACCGUAUGUUGUCAUGUUGAUGCAUAUUUUCAUGACCAAAGGCUUCGGCCGGCAAAGGAUGGGGAUGCGUCUGAUUAGCUUGCCGGCGGGGUAACGGCCCACCGGGGCGACGAUCAGUAGGGGUUCUGAGAGGAAGGUCCCCCACAUUGGAACUGAGACACGGUCCAAACUCCUACGGGAGGCAGCAG
This 264-nucleotide ribosomal RNA is filed under the name uncultured bacterium. RNAcentral describes it as "partial 16S ribosomal RNA". It matches the Rfam family "Bacterial small subunit ribosomal RNA", at positions 92 to 354 of the family's 1533-position model. The record is from RNAcentral.